UUCCUAAAAAUCCCAUAGCAAACUGCGUCAGUAACACAUGAUCAACUUGCCCUAUGGAGGACAAUAACCUCGGGAAACUGAGGAUAAUAGUCCAUAGUUGAUUAGGCUUGGAAAAGUUUUUCAAUGAAUGGAAUAAGAAAAAUGGCUCUUAUUUGCCAUAGGAUAGGAUCGUGCUCGAUUAUGGUUGUUGGUGAGGUAAAGGCUCACCAAGCCGAUAAUCGAUAGGGGCCGUGAGAGCGGUUGCCCCGAGCUGGGUACUGAGAUAACGACCCAGGCCUUACGAGGCGCAGCAGGCGCGAAACCUCAUCACUACACGAAAGUGUGAAUGGGUUACCCAAAGUGUCCUUAUUGGACUGUGGUAGGUGAGUAAUGUUCCCUACUAAAAAGGAGAGGGCAAGGCUGGUGCCACCCGCCGCGGUAAAACCAGCUCUUCAAGUGGUCGGGAUAAUUAUUGGGCUUAAAGUGUCCGUAGCCGGUAUGGUAAGUUCCUGGUAAAAUCGGGUAGCUUAACUAUCUGUGUGCUAGGAAUACUGCUAUACUAGAGGGCGGGAGAGGUCUGAGGUACUACGGGGGUAGGGGUGAAAUCUUAUAAUCCUCGUAGGACAC
This 606-nucleotide ribosomal RNA is filed under the name uncultured archaeon. RNAcentral describes it as "bacterial SSU rRNA". It matches the Rfam family "Archaeal small subunit ribosomal RNA", at positions 68 to 659 of the family's 1478-position model. The record is from RNAcentral.